UACGAAGGGGGCUAGCGUUGCUCGGAAUCACUGGGCGUAAAGCGCACGUAGGCGGACUCUUAAGUCGGUGGUGAAAUCCUGGAGCUCAACUCCAGAACUGCCUUCGAUACUGAGAGUCUCGAGUCCGGGAGAGGUGAGUGGAACUGCGAGUGUAGAGGUGAAAUUCGUAGAUAUUCGCAAGAACACCGGUGGCGAAGGCGGCAUCCUGGACCAACACUGACACUGAGGAGCGAAAGCCAGGGGAGCAAACGGG
This 253-nucleotide ribosomal RNA is filed under the name uncultured bacterium. RNAcentral describes it as "partial 16S ribosomal RNA". It matches the Rfam family "Bacterial small subunit ribosomal RNA", at positions 524 to 776 of the family's 1533-position model. The record is from RNAcentral.